UCCCCGGAUUACGGGGCUGUCUGGCCAGAGAAUACAACUGACCACGAGGGUUGCGCUCGUUGCGGGACUUAACCCAACACCUCACGGCACGAGCUGACGACAACCAUGCAGCAUCUGUGACAGCUCCCCGAAGGGUCCCCCAGUCUUUCGAUCAGGGUACCACUGCCAUGUCAAACCCAGGUAAGGUUCUUCGCUUCGCAUCGAAUUAAACCACACGCUCCGCUGCUUGUGCGGGCCCCCGUCAAUUCCUUUGAGUUUUAGCCUUGCGGCCGUACUCCCCAGGCGGAAUGCUUAACGCGUGAGCUACGACACGGAAGGGGUCGAGACCCCCCAUAUCUAGCAUUCAUUGUUUAGGGCGUGGACUAC
RNAcentral lists this unclassified non-coding RNA (366 nucleotides) under uncultured Chloroflexota bacterium. Its description in RNAcentral is "uncultured Chloroflexi bacterium contains 16S-23S intergenic spacer region". Lineage: Bacteria; Bacillati; Chloroflexota. The record is from RNAcentral.